GCGGGGGUAACCAAGCUUGGUCAAAGGUGCCAGACUCAAGAUCUGGUCCCGUAGGGGUUCAAGGGUUCAAAUCCCUUCCCCCGCACCA
Molecule: transfer RNA, 88 nt
Filed under: candidate division MSBL1 archaeon SCGC-AAA261F17
Lineage: Archaea; Methanobacteriati; Methanobacteriota
Description: tRNA-Leu
Rfam family: tRNA
About the family: Transfer RNA (tRNA) molecules are approximately 80 nucleotides in length. Their secondary structure includes four short double-helical elements and three loops (D, anti-codon, and T loops).
Source: RNAcentral